Molecule: ribosomal RNA, 669 nt
Filed under: Bacillus anthracis (anthrax bacterium)
Lineage: Bacteria; Bacillati; Bacillota; Bacilli; Caryophanales; Bacillaceae
Description: bacterial SSU rRNA
Rfam family: Bacterial small subunit ribosomal RNA
Source: RNAcentral
UGCUAUAAUGCAGUCGAGCGAAUGGAUUGAGAGCUUGCUCUCAAGAAGUUAGCGGCGGACGGGUGAGUAACACGUGGGUAACCUGCCCAUAAGACUGGGAUAACUCCGGGAAACCGGGGCUAAUACCGGAUAACAUUUUGAACUGCAUGGUUCGAAAUUGAAAGGCGGCUUCGGCUGUCACUUAUGGAUGGACCCGCGUCGCAUUAGCUAGUUGGUGAGGUAACGGCUCACCAAGGCAACGAUGCGUAGCCGACCUGAGAGGGUGAUCGGCCACACUGGGACUGAGACACGGCCCAGACUCCUACGGGAGGCAGCAGUAGGGAAUCUUCCGCAAUGGACGAAAGUCUGACGGAGCAACGCCGCGUGAGUGAUGAAGGCUUUCGGGUCGUAAAACUCUGUUGUUAGGGAAGAACAAGUGCUAGUUGAAUAAGCUGGCACCUUGACGGUACCUAACCAGAAAGCCACGGCUAACUACGUGCCAGCAGCCGCGGUAAUACGUAGGUGGCAAGCGUUAUCCGGAAUUAUUGGGCGUAAAGCGCGCGCAGGUGGUUUCUUAAGUCUGAUGUGAAAGCCCACGGCUCAACCGUGGAGGGUCAUUGGAAACUGGGAGACUUGAGUGCAGAAGAGGAAAGUGGAAUUCCAUGUGUAGCGGUGAAAUGCGUAGAGAUA